RNAcentral lists this ribosomal RNA (222 nucleotides) under uncultured fungus. RNAcentral's name for it is "partial 18S ribosomal RNA". It matches the Rfam family "Eukaryotic small subunit ribosomal RNA", at positions 40 to 274 of the family's 1831-position model. Lineage: Eukaryota; Fungi. The record is from RNAcentral.
AAGAUUAAGCCAUGCAUGUCCAAGUAUAAACCUUUAUACGGUGAAACUGCGAAUGGCUCAUUAUAUCAGUUAUAAUUUACUUGAUGGUCUCUUUACUACUUGGAUAACCGUGGUAAUUCUAGAGCUAAUACAUGCAAAGGGCCCGCAAGGGCGGUAUUUAUUAGAUAAGAACCAAUGCCAGCAAUGGCGUGUGGCGAGUCACGAUAACUGUGCGGAUCGCAU